AGAGACGGGGUCUCGGUCUUGCUCAGGCUGGUUUCGAACUCCUGACCUCGAGCAAUCCACCUGCCUUGGCCUCCCAGAGAGCUAGGAUUACAGGCAUGAGCCACAGUGCCUGGCCGGAGGGAGAGUUUUGAUGGGAGAUCAGGGAAGAAUUCACAGAGGUACCGCCAGGAAGAGGACAUUUCAGAGUGGCUAAGGGAGAGGAAGAGAGCCCCACCUGCAAGCUGAGGCCCAGGUGAUAUGUCUGAGGACCUGGGGGAGUGCAAGGUCAUGCAAGACUGAAGAGGAUGGACUUGAUUUGGUAGGUGGUGGGAGCCACAGAGUGUUAGCGAGGGAGAGCAUGACAGAUACCCUGUGCUUUAGGCAGGUCGUCCCAGUUGCUAUGUAGUGGCUGGCUGGAACAGGAGAUGUUGUUAUAGAUGUGGGCAACCAGAGGGGUGUGGGUGACGGAGGGAGGGGCCCUGAGAAGGUGGCAUCUCAGGACCCAGAGACAGGAGAGGCAGUGAGCCAGGGGAGGCAGCAGUGUGGGCGCCCCCUCCCCUCUUCCAGGUGUGCCCUGGUCAUGGGGUGGCACCCUGCGCAGAGACAGGGAGCCCAGGGAAGGAACAACAGGAUGCUGGGAGACAGUGCCAGAGCGUGUUGACUCCAGGUGGACCAAUGGCCCUGCCUGUGGUCUGAGGCCGGGUCCCGAGAAUCAGCCCCAGGGCUCUGCCCUUCUCUUUGGUGUGGUCUAGAGCUCGUCACUGCCGGGGGCAAGUGCCUUGGGGUGCGCUGGGUACUGGAGGGUCCCCAGGAUGCCUGUGGUGGCCCGGCCUAUGCAUCCUGCCCCACAGGGGCCUGGUGGAUACUGUGUGGAGCUGAUGGUGGCCUGGGGACGGCGCCGCUCUGCAGAGGCUGAACGUGCAGGACCACACGGUAAAGAAGAGUGAUGCUGUAAGCACAUGCAUUCGAAGAGCUCAUCGUUUCAGAAUUUGCUUCGAUUUUCUGCACUUAGAGAAAUCUGCCUUGCAAACAGAAAUAUCUUCCCUUCUCCCCAUCUCUUUGUCUGGGAGAGUGAGCCAAUGGGGCCCGGUGAUGACCAGGGUAGCAGCCUCAGAGGAGAUGUGCAUCUUUGCAGCCCAUGGAGCUGCCAGGCUGGCCGGCGUGUGAGUUUGAGCGACUGCAAUCUGUGCAGGCCGACCCGCAGGCAAGCACGGCACCGGUGACUUCUCAGUAAGCAGCAGCAGCACCAGUCUCUUGCAGCCCCAUGACAGGGGUUCGGGGAGCAGCAUCUUUGAAGACCUUGGCUGGGGAGCUUUCCCAGCCGGUCCUGUCUUUAUCAGCCACUGUCACUCGGCAGGCGCGGAGGAGACCUCAGCCGGCCUCGCAGGGCCUGUUGUAGCCAACGUGUGGCUCCUCUGGCCAGGCGUGUGGCCGCGUCUCGUCCUCACUCCAGCCCUAGGAAGUGGAAGCUCUUAUCCCCUUAUGGCAGGGGUGUAGCAAGGCACCUCCUGGGGCGAAUGGCAGAGCUGGAAUUAAACCUGCACGCGUCUGACUCCCAAACUCUGUCCCCUUCUGCUGCACGUCUUGUCCCCAGGGCAGUCAGGGUGAAUGUGCACCUGUUGCCCCAUCGAUGGUGUGUCAACUGCCAGAUGCGUGAGUCAGGCCAUCUAGAUCAGCCGGCAACCAGCCGACCACAGACGCCCGAGGCAGCUCCAAGCGCUGCCUAGCUGACCCACGGGGCGGGGAGCUACACAAGUUCAUGUUGUUUUGAGCCACUAGGUUCUGCGGGUUUGUCAUGAAGCAAAACUGAACUGACGCUGUUGCUGUGUAACAGCCAUGCCACUGCUGUGCAAACAACUCCGCUGCUUGAAACACCCACUUUGUCUUGCUCCCGGACUCGGUUAGGGAUGGGGACAGGGCGCGGCAGGAGUGAUGUGUCUGCUGCACGCAUCUAGAGCAUCGCCAGGAAGACUCGAGGGCUGAUGGCUUGGGGAACGACAGCGUCUCACGCACGUCUGGGUAGUGGCGUCUCAGCGGGGGCGUCUGUGGGAGCCCCUGCACGUGGCUGUCCCCGUGGCCUGAGCUCCCCCACAGCAUGGCGGCUCUGGGUCUCUUGGCUUUAAUGGAGGCCGGGGGCUCCGGAGGCGAGUGGACCAGCUGACAAGGUGGAGGGCAAUUACCUUUUAUGACCUGGCCCCGGAAGUCUCACUGUGCCACCCUGCCGCAUUCCAUCCAUCACAAGGGAAGGGAAUUAGAUGCCACCUGAUGGCAUCAGUGGUGAGGUCGCAGAGCACAUGGCGCUGGAAUGCACUAUGGCCGCCUUUGGAAAAUACAAUCCGCCACCCACCAUCUCACCGAUCCCUGCAAUAACGCAGUGAGUGGGUGCUAUUAUGGUCCCCACUUUGCAGAUCAGAGAACCGAGGCUCACAUGGUUGGUAAUGGGCUCAAGGCAGCAUAGCUGGGCACGAGUGUGGGAGCGGAGUCUGGCUGCAAAGCCUGUGCCCUCACCAUUCCUCUCAUUGCCUUUCCGUACUCGGGCUUAGGGGCCCACUUGACUUUUAACUACUGCCCUCAGCUUCACAUUGUCUCCACUUUAACGUGGCGCCUUCUAUUAGACAGCUAUACGUCUCAGUGUCCCUCCUGGCUCUGCCAGGGAUCCCUGUCAUUUCCGGCAGUGGGCCGACACGGUGGCCUUGCACCCGUGGCCUCCUGCCCAGCGGAGGCUCCCGCACAGGCACGGGCAGGUGCGGCGGGCGCAGAGCCUGGCUGUGCACAGAGACGGGGUUAGAGGCCACUGGAGAGGUGGACGCAGCGGCUCAGCACAGGGUCCUGGCGCUUCAAGGCCAUGCCGGGCUGUGUGCUGAACUCAGGGUUAGGAGGUGCCCUGCUCCCCGAGGCGGGGGGAGGGGGGCGGAGGGGGACACCCAGGGAGGGGAAGGGACUCAAAUAGAAGACAUGCUGUACUGAUCACCACCCUCCCUCCUUCCACAACAGCACAUAAAGUUUGAAGCUAUCUAGCAGACAACUUGAAUUUAAAUCCUAAGAGGAUGGAAACAGGGGUUAUGUCUCUAGACUUUGAAAGACAUUUAUUUUCUGUGUUACGCACAGUAUCAACAUCACUACAUGAGUAUUUGCAGCCCUGGUUCCUUCCCUGACCCUCCUCCCAGCCCACUCAAAAUUCUAACUGCGCCCCUGACAUUUCCCCUCGUUUCUUAGGCAAAGCCGGGAGCACUCAUGCUGGUAGCCGUGCUCUGGGAGGGGUUUUUAUAAUUUUUUGUUGACAUAUAAAAUACACUUGCGAUCCGUGUUGAUGGACAAAAUGCCCAUUAACAGGAGAAUGGAGUACGGUUGUUAGACAAAAUAUAGGGUGCCCCGUUAAAUUUGCAGUUCAUUCUUUUUUUUUUUUUUAAUGUUCCAGAGAGGAACGGGUCGGUCUCCAUGAGUGGAGAAAGACCAAAUUUGCGCUUCAGGUACACAAUGGACACUUUCCGGUGUAGCUAGCCCCACAGCUGUAAAAGGGCACACAGGCUCAGUGUGCAGCUCGGUGGAUUUCCACAAGUGAGCACGUCUGUGUCACCACACUCAGAUCAAGAAACAGAACCGUCCAAACGCCCCUCGCGUCUCUUUCCAGUGACUGUCCGCCCCCCACUAGCCUGGCUCUAACAGCACAGACAAGUGUUGCCUGUGUUUUUUUUUUUUUUUUUGAAUACCAUAUAAAUGGAAUCGCCCAAUUUGUAUAAUUUUGUGUCUGGCCUCCUUUGCUCAUCAUCAUGUCUGCGAGCCUCCUCUCGUGUUGUCUCGCAGAGCCGUCGUUCAUUUUGGGGAGUAUUUCUGUAGGGAACAUACUUAUACCAAAAGAGUUAUUUUUCUGAAAUUCAAAUGGAUCUUAUCUGGCAACCUUAUUCCAUUCUCCUGUUGAUGGACAUUUUGCAAUUUUCAGUCCGGGGCUAUUUUGAAUAAAGCUGCUAUGACUACUCCGGCGCGUGUCUUUUGGUGAACAUAUGGACUCGUUUCUUUUGGGUGUUUACCUAGGAGUGGAGUUUCUGGGUCACAGGGAUGCAUAUGUUCAGUUUAACACGCACUGCCAAGCAGCGUUCCAAAUGGCACGGAUUCGUACGCCAGCCAGCAGCGAGUGAAGGUUCCAGUUGCUCUACAUCCUCACCAACCUAGGCGUCUUCUGUCCUUUUCAUUUUAGCCAUUCUAGUGGGCGGGCUCUGCUUUAACUCCCUCGCGGUUUUAAUUUGCAUCUCGCUGAUGAUUCACAAAGCUGAGCACCUGGCCACUUGCUUAGUGGCCCUUUCAGCCUCCUCUUUCGUAAGGUGCGUGUUCCAGCAUGUUGCCGAGUGUUUUAUUGAGAUGCCUGCCUCUGAAGAAAUUGCUUUGUAGGCAUUUCUUUUUUCAAGGGUUUUUUUUUAAUUUCGGCAUAUUAUGGGGGUACAGAUUUUAAGGUUUCAAUAAAUGCCCUUUCCCCCCUCCCCCACAAGUCUGA
RNAcentral lists this long non-coding RNA (4468 nucleotides) under Microcebus murinus (gray mouse lemur). Its description in RNAcentral is "lncRNA (ENSMICG00000048218.1)". The record is from RNAcentral. Lineage: Eukaryota; Metazoa; Chordata; Mammalia; Primates; Cheirogaleidae.